UACGUAGGGGGCUAGCGUUGUCCGGAAUCAUUGGGCGUAAAGCGCGUGUAGGCGGUCCGAUAAGUUCGCUGUGAAAGUCGGGGGCUCAACCCUCGGAUGCCGGUGAAUACUGUCGGGCUUGAGUACGGAAGAGGCGAGUGGAAUUCCUGGUGUAGCGGUGAAAUGCGCAGAUAUCAGGAGGAACACCAAUUGCGAAGGCAGCUCGCUGGGACGUUACUGACGCUGAGGAGCGAAAGCGUGGGGAGCGAACAGG
This 253-nucleotide ribosomal RNA is filed under the name uncultured bacterium. RNAcentral describes it as "partial 16S ribosomal RNA". It matches the Rfam family "Bacterial small subunit ribosomal RNA", at positions 524 to 776 of the family's 1533-position model. The record is from RNAcentral.